AUGCAAGUCGAACGAGGUGUGUGGAAGGUAACGGAAGCACAUUUAGUGGCGGACGGGUGAGGAAUAGAUAGGUAACGUACCCCGGACUCAGGAAUAGCGGCGGGACUUCGGUUCCUUUGCGAAAGUGCCGGUAAUACCUGAUGACAUCAUUGGAUCGCAUGGUCCGGUGAUCAAAGGUCCGCAGGUCUGGGAGCGGCCUAUCUCCUAUCAGCUUGUUGGUGGGGUAACGGCCUACCAAGGCUUCGACAGGUACCAGGCGUGAGAGCGCGAUCUGGCACAUCGGGACUGAGACACUGCCCGGACAUCUACGGAUGGCUGCAGCAACGAAUAUUCCGCAAUGGGCGAAAGCCUGACGGAGCGACGCCGCGUGUAGGAUGAAGCACUUCGGUGUGUAAACUACUGUCAGGGGUUAGGAAGAAAGUGACCAACCCCAAAGGAAGCCUCGGCUAACUCCGUGCCAGCAGCCGCGGUAAUACGGAGGAGGCAAGCGUUGUUCGGAAUUACUGGGCUUAAAGCGUGCGUAGGCGGGAUGGCAGGUGUCGUGUGAAAGCCCUCGGCUCAACCGAGGAAUUGCUCGGCAAACCGCCAUUCUUGAGGCCAGCAGGGGGACCUGAACUUUGGGUGGAGCGGUGAAAUGCGUAGAUAUCCAAGGGAACGCCGGUGGCGAAAGCGGGGUCCUGGGCUGGUUCUGACGCUGAGGCACGAAAGCGUGGGUAGCAAACAGGAUUAGAUACCCAGGUAGUCCACGCCGUAAACGAUGCGCACUAGGUAUCAGCGCCUCUGA
RNAcentral lists this ribosomal RNA (784 nucleotides) under uncultured bacterium. Its description in RNAcentral is "bacterial SSU rRNA". It matches the Rfam family "Bacterial small subunit ribosomal RNA", at positions 55 to 835 of the family's 1533-position model. The record is from RNAcentral.